Molecule: ribosomal RNA, 200 nt
Filed under: uncultured bacterium
Lineage: Bacteria
Description: partial 16S ribosomal RNA
Rfam family: Bacterial small subunit ribosomal RNA
Source: RNAcentral
AUUGAACGCUGGCGGCAUGCCUUACACAUGCAAGUCGAACGGUAGAGUAGCAAUACUCGAGAGUGGCGAACGGGUGAGUAAUAUAUCGGAACGCGCCCAAUCGUGGGGGAUAACGUAGAGAAAUUUACGCUAAUACCGCAUACGAUCUAAGGAUGAAAGCGGGGGAUCGCAAGACCUCGCGCGAUUGGAGCGGCUGAUAU